GGCAGGCCUAACACAUGCAAGUCGAACGCACCUUCGGGUGAGUGGCAGACGGGUGAGUAACGCGUGGGAACCUGCCCUGUGGUACGGAAUAACCCUGGGAAACCGGGGCUACUACCGUAUACGCCCUACAAGGGAAAGAUUUAUCGCCAUAGGAUGGGCCCGCGUCAGAUUAGCUAGUUGUUGGGGUAACAGCCUAACAAGGCGACGAUCUGUAGCUGGUUUGAGAGGAUGAUCAGCCACACCGGGACUGAGACACGGCCCAGACUCCUACGGGCGGCAGCAGUGGGGAAUCAUGGACAAUGGGCGAAAGCCUGAUCCAGCCACGCCGCGUGAGUGAAGAAGGCCCUAGGGUUGUAAAGCUC
This 362-nucleotide ribosomal RNA is filed under the name uncultured Dichotomicrobium sp. Its description in RNAcentral is "bacterial SSU rRNA". It matches the Rfam family "Bacterial small subunit ribosomal RNA", at positions 41 to 433 of the family's 1533-position model. Lineage: Bacteria; Pseudomonadati; Pseudomonadota; Alphaproteobacteria; Hyphomicrobiales; Hyphomicrobiaceae. The record is from RNAcentral.